UACGGAGGGUGCAAGCGUUAUCCGGAUUCACUGGGUUUAAAGGGUGCGUAGGUGGGUAGGUAAGUCAGUGGUGAAAUCUUCAAGCUUAACUUGGAAACUGCCAUUGAUACUAUUUAUCUUGAAUACUUUGGAGGUAAGCGGAAUAUGUCAUGUAGCGGUGAAAUGCUUAGAUAUGACAUAGAACACCAAUUGCGAAGGCAGCUUACUACACAGUUAUUGACACUGAGGCACGAAAGCGUGGGGAUCAAACAGG
This 253-nucleotide ribosomal RNA is filed under the name uncultured bacterium. RNAcentral describes it as "partial 16S ribosomal RNA". It matches the Rfam family "Bacterial small subunit ribosomal RNA", at positions 524 to 776 of the family's 1533-position model. The record is from RNAcentral.